UGGUAUCCAAAUGGCAUGAUACCCAUGGCCUCUGAUUGGUGACACAAAAAUCAUGCUAAUAAUAAGAGAGUUAAGCUUUUAGAUACUGUGUAUAAUGUGAAUAAGAUAAAAUCCAUACUUUUAAGUUCAAAAAAAAAAAUCCAUACUUUAAUAUAUAUUUCUUGAGAGAUCUCCGUAUCAAUCUGAUUACAUAUAAACUUUAGGUUUACCCUUUUAAAUACGACCGUCAAAGAAGGCGAAUACGAUUCUUCUAAAGUUCUGUCUUUGUAAAGUCUCUUUCUUUAAAAC
RNAcentral lists this long non-coding RNA (288 nucleotides) under Brassica napus (rape). RNAcentral describes it as "long non-coding RNA (BNAP_LNC001413)". The record is from RNAcentral. Lineage: Eukaryota; Viridiplantae; Streptophyta; Magnoliopsida; Brassicales; Brassicaceae.